GUGAACGCUGGCGGUAGGCCUAACACCUGCAAGUCGAACGGCAGCACAGUAAGAGCUUGCUCUUACGGGUGGCGAGUGGCGGACGGGUGAGGAAUACAUCGGAAUCUACUUUUUCGUGGGGGAUAACGUAGGGAAACUUACGCUAAUACCGCAUACGACCUACGGGUGAAAGCAGGGGAUCUUCGGACCUUGCGCGAUUGAAUGAGCCGAUGUCGGAUUAGCUAGUUGGCGGGGUAAAGGCCCACCAAGGCGACGAUCCGUAGCUGGUCUGAGAGGAUGAUCAGCCACACUGGAACUGAGACACGGUCCAAGCUCCUAAGGGAGGCAGCAGUGGGGAAUAUUGGACAAUGGGCGCAAGCCUGAUCCAGCCAUACCGCGUGGGUGAAGAAGGCCUUCGGGUUGUAAAGCCCUUUUGUUGGGAAAGAAAAGCAGCAGGUUAAUACCCCGCUGUUCUGACGGUACCCAAAGAAUAAGCACCGGCUAACUUCGUG
Molecule: ribosomal RNA, 491 nt
Filed under: uncultured bacterium
Lineage: Bacteria
Description: partial 16S ribosomal RNA
Rfam family: Bacterial small subunit ribosomal RNA
Source: RNAcentral